RNA transcript from Entelurus aequoreus (snake pipefish), 1686 nucleotides. RefSeq lists it as uncharacterized. NCBI's taxonomy places the organism in Eukaryota, Metazoa, Chordata, Actinopteri, Syngnathiformes, Syngnathidae. The transcript is spliced from 12 exons. The record is from RefSeq and is a predicted model, not a curated record.
ACUAGCAGUAAAACUUUAUAUUCUGUAAAAAAAGGCUUUUAUUUCCAGCGCCGCCUCCCAGAAUGCUUUGCAUGGGGACGUGCGUCUGACGUCACGUAUUCAGAAAAUUCGAAAUGGCUGCACGCGGGAGGUGAGGCCCGAGCGAAGAAAAGUGGAAAAGAGUGUUAUUCGUCAAAAAACCCACACAACGACGGUCAUUUUUUCGCCGUGCUAUUGUAAAAUUGUGUUUUGUGAAGCCGUGGAGCUCGAGAUCCUGUUUACUGUGGACUAGCUGUGUGUGACGCCAUGUUGUUUUUGUUUCCAUUACAAAAAAAAAGCUCCACCGUCUCGCCGAGUGCCAGCAAGAGUCAUGAGUACUUGUCAACUCGACUCCUCAACUGGAGAUAACUUUCUAGCACCUCACCAUGGGGAAGGAUGUAUUCAUAUGCCUUCACCAGCACCUGCAUUAAACAUGCAGAGAGUUACACAAGUUCUUACCACCUUGGGGCACCAUUCAGGGUGCCUUUUCAUCUGAUUAAAUUUAUAAUGAACAGGGACAUUACGGUCGUCCCAAGUGGAUGGUAUGAUGAUAGGAUGGUUUUCUGGCCCAGCUAUAAAAACACCGACAGAAUUGAAAGGGCAGCUUUAAAUGAGGAGCAGCAUGAGCCAAACUGGCCAAGAUUUGACGUUUCUGUUGUCCGAACUUGUGACAACUACAAAGACGCAUUAAAAAUAAUGCAACAAUAUGGAAAGGGCUGCGACACCUCAGACCUGCAAUCUGAGGCGGAGAACGAGGAGCUGCCAGAAAAAAGGAACAGGAAGGCAGUCCAUCGCCUCGGGGACUCAGAUGAUAGCGAAGAAGACCCGGGAAAUAGUGACCUCACAUCUCUGGGGUUGGCAAGCCAAUUGCACAGGCAGAGUAAAGAAUAAUCUCUUACCUCCCUGCUUGGCACUCAGCAUCAAGGGUUGGAAUUGGGGGUUAAAUCACCAAAAUGAUUCCCGGGCGCGGCACCGCUGCUGCCCACUGCUCCCCACUGCUCCCCUCACCUCCCAGGGGGUGAACAAGGGGAUGGGUCAAAUGCAGAGGACACAUUUCACCACACCUAGUGUGUGUGACAAUCCUUGGUACUUUAACUUUAACUUAACAUCGAAAACAACAAAACCACCAAAAGAUAUGGUUAACAUUCUUAGUGCUAAAGAUAUUCCCCUCUCCUUGUAUCCCUUCUCCCAGCUCCACCGUCUCACCGAGUGCCAGCAAGAGCCAUGAGUACUUGUCAACUCGACUCCUCAACUGGAGAUAACUUUCUAGCACCUCACCAUGGGGAAGGAUGUAUUCAUAUGCCUUCACCAGCACCUGCAUAAAACAUGCAGAGUUACACAAGUAACGGCAGUCCCUCCUCGACUCCCUCCACCCCCCUCACCAGCAGCCCUCAACAUGUGGCAGACAGAGGAGCCUGGAUCCAGCCUGGCCUACAGGCCAACAUGGCGAGGGGGAAGAAUGGCCGACAACAUUUCCUGCUCUGCGCCUGAGGUAAUCCACAUCCUUAGCCUGCUGGAAACUAUUAAGCACAACCAAGACCAGCUGAUUGCGAAGGUGCUGUGAGUAAAAAUGUGUUGACAAGGUCAGCCACGGACGCUGAGGUCACCAAACACGCCAUCAGGUGGUUCAACUUGGCGGGGGAUCGGGCAACGAGGAGACGAGUCCCG